This 477-nucleotide ribosomal RNA is filed under the name Candidatus Scalindua brodae. RNAcentral's name for it is "bacterial SSU rRNA". It matches the Rfam family "Bacterial small subunit ribosomal RNA", at positions 365 to 832 of the family's 1533-position model. Lineage: Bacteria; Pseudomonadati; Planctomycetota; Candidatus Brocadiia; Candidatus Brocadiales; Candidatus Scalinduaceae. The record is from RNAcentral.
UUCGCAAUGCCCGAAAGGGUGACGAAGCGACGCCGCGUGAGCGAAGAAGGCCUUCGGGUUGUAAAGCCCUGUCAGGAGUUAAGGAAUGUAGAUACGCUAAUAUCGUAUCUAUUUGACAAAGGCUCCAAAGGAAGCCACGGCUAACUCUGUGCCAGCAGCCGCGGUAAUACAGAGGUGGCAAGCGUUGUUCGGAAUUAUUGGGCGUAAAGAGCACGUAGGUGGAUUUGUAAGUCAGAUGUGAAAGCCUUCUGUUCAACGGAAGAAUUGCAUCUGAAACUGCAGAUCUUGAGUAUAGGAGGGGAGAGUGGAACUUCUGGUGGAGCGGUGAAAUGCGUAGAUAUCAGAAGGAACGUCGGCGGCGAAAGCGGCUCUCUGGCCUAUUACUGACACUGAGUGUGCGAAAGUUAGGGGAGCAAACGGGAUUAGAUACCCCGGUAGUCUUAACCGUAAACGAUGGGCACUAAGUAGAGGGGUUUU